GGUCCUGUGGUCUAGUGGUAUGAUUCUCGCUUUGGGUGCGAGAGGCCCCGUGUUCGAAUCACGGCAGGACCC
Molecule: transfer RNA, 72 nt
Filed under: Blastomyces dermatitidis ATCC 26199
Lineage: Eukaryota; Fungi; Ascomycota; Eurotiomycetes; Onygenales; Ajellomycetaceae
Also listed under: 4 other names
Description: tRNA-Pro (TGG) (tRNA-Pro-TGG-2-1)
Rfam family: tRNA
About the family: Transfer RNA (tRNA) molecules are approximately 80 nucleotides in length. Their secondary structure includes four short double-helical elements and three loops (D, anti-codon, and T loops). Further hydrogen bonds mediate the characteristic L-shaped molecular structure. tRNAs have two regions of fundamental functional importance: the anti-codon, which is responsible for specific mRNA codon recognition, and the 3' end, to which the tRNAs corresponding amino acid is attached (by aminoacyl-tRNA synthetases). tRNAs cope with the degeneracy of the genetic code in two manners: having more than one tRNA (with a specific anti-codon) for a particular amino acid; and 'wobble' base-pairing, i.e. permitting non-standard base-pairing at the 3rd anti-codon position.
Source: RNAcentral